RNAcentral lists this ribosomal RNA (253 nucleotides) under uncultured bacterium. RNAcentral describes it as "partial 16S ribosomal RNA". It matches the Rfam family "Bacterial small subunit ribosomal RNA", at positions 524 to 776 of the family's 1533-position model. The record is from RNAcentral.
GACGAACCGUCCAAACGUUAUUCGGAAUCACUGGGCGUAAAGCGCACGUAGGCGGAUUUGUAAGUCAGGGGUGAAAUCCCGGGGCUCAACCUCGGAACUGCCUUUGAUACUGCAAGUCUCGAGUUCGGGAGAGGUGAGUGGAAUUCCUAGUGUAGAGGUGAAAUUCGUAGAUAUUAGGAAGAACACCAGUGGCGAAGGCGGCUCACUGGCCCGAUACUGACGCUGAGGUGCGAAAGCGUGGGGAGCAAACAGG